GUCGUCUCCUUUUCCCUCCUUCUGGUUCUCAGAGGGUUUGGGGUGGUCUCUCAAGGGGAGGGAGCGACCGAGCUCAGUCUUGGGCCAGACUUCUCCACCCGAACGGGUGAGAAGGCCCUGAAUUGACGAAGGGAAGGACACCGCAGUCGUGCCGACUUUCACCUGAGCGUGGAACCGAAGCGACUGAGGGGUCUCGACCCGUCCGUGAGACGAACCAACGGGGACACAGUCACCCAAAGUUCGACCUCGGAUCAGGUAGGGUUACCCGCUGAACUUAAGC
This 280-nucleotide unclassified non-coding RNA is filed under the name plant metagenome. RNAcentral's name for it is "partial contains internal transcribed spacer 2 and large subunit ribosomal RNA". The record is from RNAcentral.